Molecule: ribosomal RNA, 206 nt
Filed under: uncultured bacterium
Lineage: Bacteria
Description: partial 16S ribosomal RNA
Rfam family: Bacterial small subunit ribosomal RNA
Source: RNAcentral
AGCGUAGGUGGCAGAUCAAGUCUGGAGUAAAAGGUAUGGGCUCAACCCGUACUGGCUCUGGAAACUGAUCAGCUAGAGAACAGAAGAGGACGGCGGAACUCCAUGUGUAGCGGUAAAAUGCGUAGAUAUAUGGAAGAACACCGGUGGCGAAGGCGGCCGUCUGGUCUGGAUUCUGACACUGAAGCACGAAAGCGUGGGAGCAAAUA